UUCACAUCAGCCAAUAAGGUUGAUUGUCCCGCCCCUUUAACGGCUGUGCUGAGAUUUUGCUCAGAUUGCGUUAGACACGCUUGAGAGCUCAGAGCUGAUGGUUGUUUCCGCUAAUAGCCUGGAAAUCUUGUCAAAUUCGAUGAAGAAUCUUGGAAAUAGAAAGCUUCCCUUGUGAACGGUUGAAAGCCCGGAAAAAUCCCCGUGUAGAGUCGUGUAGCAUCGAAGCAUCGGUCAGGUUUUUUGGUUAUAGUGCACUUUUGGCCUGUGGUGCCUCGAAACCACCAGAUCAUCCUCUCCUGAACUUGGAUGGCGAGCCCCAGCCCAGAGGACCGAGUGAACUGGUAGAUUGUGACCCCACUGGUCACUGGCUGUGAGACAUUGAAUGAAUAUUUGACAGACGUAUCAAAAAGACUGGGUUAUUUAUGUUAUUUUAUUUUGUUGGUUUUUUUUUGUUUUUUAAAGCGCGCAAUUUUUGUUUAUUUGUAAAUGUGGAUCCACAAAUGUUCACUAUAUUAAACCCUACUCUUUUUCAUAGA
Long non-coding RNA from Girardinichthys multiradiatus, 536 nucleotides. RefSeq lists it as uncharacterized. NCBI's taxonomy places the organism in Eukaryota, Metazoa, Chordata, Actinopteri, Cyprinodontiformes, Goodeidae. The record is from RefSeq and is a predicted model, not a curated record. The transcript is spliced from 3 exons.